AGCUUAUUUCCAGCUGGCGAAAGGAAGAGCCUGGUUUCUCCAGUUUUGUUCUCCUCCGGGAGUGCGCUGGAAAAGCAUGCUCCAGGCUUCCAGUUGGCUUUAGUCCAGGCGAAGCAGAGCGCUCAGGCGCCGAGUCCUCCAAGCUCACAGCUGCUUGGGCCGCGGCGCGCCCCCACCACCCCGGGUUUCUAGAGCCUUGUGACAGCGCCUCACUCCGAGCUGCUCAGCGGCUUUCUGCAACCCUCUCUCUGCCUCGCCCCCAGUAUGUGACGUGGGUGACAAUGGCCCAGGUUGGAGCGAGCCCCACGUCGGCGCGUCCUGGGUGGUCGGACCCGGGCAAACACAAAUACAAACCGAUUGCUAAGCUGCGGACAAUGAGGGAAAUGUAGACAAAUGUCCCGCUCCCGUUGGAAGCCUUUGUCCAGGCCCGGUUUUUGCAUUUAUUUCAGUGGCGAAAUAAUACAUGAUUGACGCUC
RNAcentral lists this long non-coding RNA (476 nucleotides) under Mus pahari (shrew mouse). Its description in RNAcentral is "lncRNA (MGP_PahariEiJ_G0003371.1)". The record is from RNAcentral. Lineage: Eukaryota; Metazoa; Chordata; Mammalia; Rodentia; Muridae.